Molecule: non-coding RNA, 1610 nt
Organism: Dama dama (fallow deer)
Lineage: Eukaryota; Metazoa; Chordata; Mammalia; Artiodactyla; Cervidae
Source: the annotation of a RefSeq genome assembly
CCCUAUUUGCAUGGCAGCCCCUCCUCUGGAAGAGGCUGGGAGAGAAAAGGAGGCCUGAGGCAGCCCAGCCCCACUGAGGGGACCAGGAAGCUGUGAGCACCAUGGCCUGGACUCCUCUCCUGCUCAUGCUCCUCUCUCUCUGCACAGGCUCCCAGCCUGUGCUGACCCAGCCCGCCUCCCUGUCCGAGUCUCCGGGAGCAUCAGCCAGACUCUCCUGCACCCUGAGCAGCGGCUACAGUGUUGGCAGCUAUACUGUAUACUGGUAUCAGCAGAAGGCAGGGAGCCCACCCCAGUACCUGCUGAGGUUCAAGUCAGACUCGGAUAAGCACCAGGGUUCCGGGGUCCCCAGCCGCUUCUCUGGAUCCAAAGAUGCCUCCACCAACGCGGGGCUCCUGCUCAUCUCUGGGCUGCAGCCCGAGGACGAGGCCGAUUAUUACUGUGCUGUGUGGCAUGGCGGCAGUAAUGUUUACACGGCGCUUCAGACCAGCGAGGAAGUGAGACAAAAACCUCCACUCAUGCCUGCUCGUGGCUCGGAUGAAGUCUAGUUCAGGGGAUGACUUCCAACUGUCAGAUGUUAGACAAGGAACUGAUUUUCCUCGAGCCAGCAGAUUUGAUAAUAUUGUAUCUUUUGCUUCAAUUCAGCUUUUAGAUUGCUAAGAUAGUUUUAUCCAAUGCCGGUUUUCUUGGGCAAACAUUACUUGUUCAGAGAUAAAAACUUUUCGAUGGAGACACUGGCUGAGCCCAGAAGAGGUGGUUUCAGGCCAGGCCCAGCUCAGGGUCAAGCAGUCAAUAAGACAGGCUUCUGUGAGUGUUUCACUUGGGAUUUUGUGAUAUAAAAGUCAACAUGCAGAAGUGAAUUGUAUUUUGUAGUUCACUUUUCACUUUCAUGCAUUGGAGAAGGAAAUGGCAACCCACUCCAGUAUUCUUGCCUGGAGAAUCCCAGGGAUGGGGGAGCCUGGUGGGCUGCCAUCUAUGGGGCCGCAUAGAGACAGACACGACUGAAGUGACUUAGCAGUAGCAGCAGCAAUGAAUCUCCAGUUUCUAAAAAUAAAGCCACUAACACGUAUGAUACGAUCAAUAUAAAACACUUGAAGAUAAAUCUGAGGAAGAUCAGAAGUCUGUGCGCUGAAAACAACAAGCAUGCAAGAGAAAUUAAAGGCACAGUGAACAGGGACUCCUGGUCUUCAGUUCAAAACACUGAGUGUAACUUAGAUAACAGUCAUGAAAAGUAGCACAGCAUCGUAAAGCAACUUGUUCAGUCGCUAAGUCGUGUCUGACCCCAUGGACUGCAACACACCAGGCUUCCCUGUCCUUCACCAUCCUGGAGUUUGCCAAGUUCAAGUCCAUUGGAUCCGUGAUGCCAUCCAACCAUCUCAACCUCUGUCAUCGCCUUCUCCUCCUGCCCUCAAUCUUUCCUAGCAAAAGAUGUUUUCCAAUGAGUCGUAAAUAUGAGAUUACACUGAAAAUUAAUGACAAUGUUAAUUAAUGAAAAUUAAUGAGAAUUGUUCAAGUCCACAAUUAUCAAAAAUAGUAUAUAACUUUAAAAUUAUAUAAAUUUAAAAGUAGUUCAAACUGUGUGUUAUUCUGGUCCCAGUAAUAAAAAAACAUAA